Molecule: ribosomal RNA, 247 nt
Filed under: uncultured eukaryote
Lineage: Eukaryota
Description: partial 18S ribosomal RNA
Rfam family: Eukaryotic small subunit ribosomal RNA
Source: RNAcentral
UGGUGGACUGAUCUGUCUGGUUAAUUCCGAUAACGAACGAGACUCUAGCCUGCUAAAUAGGCGUUACUUUCCGGCAUCUCGAAGGCUCGCGUCUCCCGUUCGCCGGCGGGUGUCGGGUUGCGGCGCUCCGGCGCUUGCGCUCGCCCCGUCCGUCCGUCCGGGUGUUCGCGGUUUUUACUGCCGGCGUACACAUGAAUCUUCUUAGAGGGACAAGCGGCUCCUAGCCGCACGAGAUUGAGCAAUAACA